Molecule: ribosomal RNA, 314 nt
Filed under: uncultured Glomeromycotina
Lineage: Eukaryota; Fungi; Glomeromycota
Description: SSU rRNA
Rfam family: Eukaryotic small subunit ribosomal RNA
Source: RNAcentral
AGCAGCCGCGGUAAUUCCAGCUCCAAUAGCGUAUAUUAAAGUUGUUGCAGUUAAAAAGCUCGUAGUUGAACUUUAGGCCCGUCCGAGUGGUCCGUCCUCUGGGCGAGCACUGGUUCGUGGCGGGUCUCACCUUCUGGCGAGCGUGGAUGCCAUUCGGUUGGUGUCCGCGGGAACCAGGACCUUUACCUUGAAAAAAUUAGAGUGUUUAAAGCGGGCUUUGACGCUUGAAUACAUUAGCAUGGAAUAAUGAAAUAGGACGAGGUUCUAUUUUGUUGGUUUAGGAACCUUCGUAAUGAUUAAUAGGGAUAGUUGGG